This 253-nucleotide ribosomal RNA is filed under the name uncultured bacterium. Its description in RNAcentral is "partial 16S ribosomal RNA". It matches the Rfam family "Bacterial small subunit ribosomal RNA", at positions 524 to 776 of the family's 1533-position model. The record is from RNAcentral.
UACGUAGGGGGCAAGCGUUGUCCGGAAUCAUUGGGCGUAAAGCGCACGUAGGCGGAUUGUUAAGUCGGGGGUGAAAUCCUGGAGCUCAACUCCAGAACUGCCUUCGAUACUGACGAUCUCGAGUCCGGGAGAGGUGAGUGGAACUCCGAGUGUAGAGGUGAAAUUCGUAGAUAUUCGGAAGAACACCAGUGGCGAAGGCGGCUCACUGGCCCGGUACUGACGCUGAGGUGCGAAAGCGUGGGGAGCAAACAGG